RNAcentral lists this ribosomal RNA (253 nucleotides) under uncultured bacterium. Its description in RNAcentral is "partial 16S ribosomal RNA". It matches the Rfam family "Bacterial small subunit ribosomal RNA", at positions 524 to 776 of the family's 1533-position model. The record is from RNAcentral.
CACGUAGGAGGCGAGCGUUGUCCGGAAUCAUUGGGCGUAAAGAGCGCGCAGGCGGCUUGGCAAGUCGGGUGUGAAAUCCCGGGGCUCAACCCCGGGACUGCAUUCGAUACUGUCAGGCUAGAGGUAGGUAGGGGAGAUCGGAAUUCCUGGUGUAGCGGUGAAAUGCGCAGAUAUCAGGAGGAACACCGGUGGCGAAGGCGGAUCUCUGGGCCUUACCUGACGCUGAGGAGCGAAAGUGUGGGGAGCGAACAGG